AUAGUUAAGUGACUAAGCGUACACGGUGGAUGCCUUGGCAAUCAGAGGCGAAGAAGGACGUGCUAAUCUGCGAAAAGCUUGGAUGAGUUGAUAAGAAGCGUUUAAUCCAAGAUAUCCGAAUGGGGAAACCCAAUAGAUGAAGAAUCUAUUAUUGCUUGAUGAAUACAUAGUCAAGCAAGGCAAACCGGGAGAACUGAAACAUCUAAGUACCCCGAGGAAAAGAAAUCAACCGAGAUUCUGUAAGUAGCGGCGAGCGAAAGCGGAAGAGCCUGUUAGUGAUAGCGAGAGAGACAGAGGAAUUGACUGGGAAGUCAAGCGAUACAGGGUGAUAGCCCCGUACUCGAAGUCUGUUUUGUGGUACUGAGCUAACGAAAAGUAGGGCGGGACACGAGAAAUCCUGUUUGAAGAAGGGGGGACCAUCCUCCAAGGCUAAAUACUCCUGAUUGACCGAUAGUGAACCAGUACUGUGAAGGAAAGGCGAAAAGAACCCUGGUGAAGGGAGUGAAAUAGAACCUGAAACCGUGUACGUACAAGCAGUGGGAGCCUGAAAGGGUGACUGCGUACCUUUUGUAUAAUGGGUCAGCGACUUAUAUUAUGUAGCGAGGUUAACCGAAUAGGGGAGCCGAAGGGAAACCGAGUCUUAACUGGGCGAAUGAGUUGCAUGAUAUAGACCCGAAACCCGGUGAUCUAGCCAUGGGCAGGUUGAAGAUUGGGUAACACUAAUUGGAGGACCGAACCGACUAAUGUUGAAAAAUUAGCGGAUGACCUGUGGCUGGGGGUGAAAGGCCAAUCAAACCGGGAGAUAGCUGGUUCUCCCCGAAAUCUAUUUAGGUAGAGCCUUGAGCGGACACCUUCGGGGGUAGAGCACUGUUUCGGCUAGGGGGCCAUCCCGGCUUACCAACCCGAUGCAAACUGCGAAUACCGAAGAGUGAUACUCAGGAGACACACGGCGGGUGCUAACGUCCGUCGUGGAGAGGGAAACAACCCAGACCGCCAGCUAAGGUCCCAAAGUGCUCAUUAAGUGGGAAACGAAGUGGGAAGGCUUAGACAGCUAGGAUGUUGGCUUAGAAGCAGCCAUCAUUUAAAGAAAGCGUAAUAGCUCACUAGUCGAGUCGGCCUGCGCGGAAGAUGUAACGGGGCUAAAAUGAGUCACCGAAGCUGCGGCAUCAGUAGAGAUACUGUUGGGUAGGGGAGCGUUGUGUAAGCGGAAGAAGGUGAAUCGAGAGGUUUGCUGGACGUAUCACAAGUGCGAAUGCUGACAUAAGUAACGAUAAAACGAGUGAAAAACUCGUUCGCCGGAAGACCAAGGGUUCCUGUCCAACGUUAAUCGGGGCAGGGUGAGUCGGCCCCUAAGGCGAGGCUGAAAAGCGUAGUCGAUGGGAAACGGGUUAAUAUUCCCGUACUUGGUAUAACUGCGAUGUGGGGACGGAGAAGGUUAGGUUAUCAGACUGUUGGAUGUCUGUUUAAGCCGGUAGGUGGAGCAUUUAGGCAAAUCCGAAUGUUUAUAACACCGAGAAGUGAUGACGAGUCUCUACGGAGACGAAGUAACUGAUACCACGCUUCCAGGAAAAGCCACUAAGCAUAGGUUAUACUGAACCGUACUAUAAACCGACACAGGUGGUCAGGUAGAGAAUACUCAGGCGCUUGAGAGAACUCGGGUGAAGGAACUAGGCAAAAUAGCACCGUAACUUCGGGAGAAGGUGCGCCGGCGUAGAUUGUAGUCCCUUGCGGACGAAGGUUGAACCGGUCGAAGAUACCAGCUGGCUGCAACUGUUUAUUAAAAACACAGCACUCUGCAAACACGAAAGUGGACGUAUAGGGUGUGAUGCCUGCCCGGUGCUGGAAGGUUAAUUGAUGGUGUAAUCGCAAGAGAAGCUCCUGAUCGAAGCCCCAGUAAACGGCGGCCGUAACUAUAACGGUCCUAAGGUAGCGAAAUUCCUUGUCGGGUAAGUUCCGACCUGCACGAAUGGCAUAAUGAUGGCCAGGCUGUCUCCACCCGAGACUCAGUGAAAUUGAAAUCGCCGUGAAGAUGCGGUGUACCCGCGGCUAGACGGAAAGACCCCGUGAACCUUUACUAUAGCUUGACACUGAACCUUGAAUUUUGAUGUGUAGGAUAGGUGGGAGACUAUGAAGCGGUAACGCCAGUUAUCGUGGAGUCGUUGUUGAAAUACCACCCUUUAACGUUUGAUGUUCUAACGAAGAUUGCGGAACGCGGUCUCGGACAGUGUCUGGUGGGUAGUUUGACUGGGGCGGUCUCCUCCCAAAGAGUAACGGAGGAGCACGAAGGUUUGCUAAUGGCGGUCGGACAUCGCCAGGUUAGUGCAAUGGUAUAAGCAAGCUUAACUGCGAGACAGACAAGUCGAGCAGGUGCGAAAGCAGGUCAUAGUGAUCCGGUGGUUCUGAAUGGAAGGGCCAUCGCUCAACGGAUAAAAGGUACUCCGGGGAUAACAGGCUGAUACCGCCCAAGAGUUCAUAUCGACGGCGGUGUUUGGCACCUCGAUGUCGGCUCAUCACAUCCUGGGGCUGAAGUAGGUCCCAAGGGUAUGGCUGUUCGCCAUUUAAAGUGGUACGCGAGCUGGGUUUAGAACGUCGUGAGACAGUUCGGUCCCUAUCUGCCGUGGGCGUUGGAGAAUUGAAAGGGGCUGCUCCUAGUACGAGAGGACCGGAGUGGACGCAUCCCUGGUGUUCCAGUUGUUUCGCCAGAAGCAUUGCUGGGUAGCUACAUGCGGGAGAGAUAAGUGCUGAAAGCAUCUAAGCACGAAACUUGCCUUGAGAUGAGUUCUCCCCAACAAAAAGUUGGUAAGGGUUGUUUAAGACUAAGACGUAGAUAGGUCUGGUGUGUAAGUGGUGUGAGCCAUUGAGCUAACGGAUACUAAUUGCCCGAGAGGCUUAACUAU
RNAcentral lists this ribosomal RNA (2897 nucleotides) under Alitibacter langaaensis DSM 22999. RNAcentral describes it as "bacterial LSU rRNA". It matches the Rfam family "Bacterial large subunit ribosomal RNA". The record is from RNAcentral. Lineage: Bacteria; Pseudomonadati; Pseudomonadota; Gammaproteobacteria; Pasteurellales; Pasteurellaceae.